GGGGACCUGCGGAAGGAUCAUUCUUGAAUUUGGGAUGAUCCAUAGGGGAAAGCCAGGGGUUCUUCUUUCAUAUCCAUAACACCUGUGCACUGGUGGAUGCUGGCAUCCACUUUUAAACUAAACAUUAUCGUACCAAAUGUAGUGGUAUUAUAACAUAAUAAAACUUUCAACAAGGGAUCUCCUGGCUCUCGCAUCGAUGAAGAACGCAGCGAAAUGCGAUAAGUAAUGUGAAGUGCAGAAUUCAGUGAAUCAUCGAAUCUUUGAACGCACCUUGCGCUCCUUGGUAUUAAGAGGAGCAUGCCUGUUUGAGUGUCAUGAAACCCUCAAACCCAAGUUUGGGAUUUCGAUCCAUGCCUGAGUAUGGAGGGGGACGUUCCUCGGCGAUGAUCAGACUCAUCCUAAAAGUAUUAGCUUGGAUCUGUGUAUAUGUCUGGUUUGCGGGGGCAUAAUAAGUCAAAGGCAGAGGACAUCUUCGGAUGGCCAGGACCUAGGUAUGGGGUCUGCUCACUCAAUCAGCACUUUAAGUGCAUCGCUGGAUGAUACUCAAUGAGUAACUUGACAUCUGACCUCUAAUCAUGAACGAAUAACCGCUGAACUUAAGCAUAUCAAUAA
This 612-nucleotide ribosomal RNA is filed under the name Cryptococcus sp. AUMC 7793. RNAcentral describes it as "eukaryotic LSU rRNA". The stretch from base 162 to 315 matches the Rfam family "5.8S ribosomal RNA". The record is from RNAcentral. Lineage: Eukaryota; Fungi; Basidiomycota; Tremellomycetes; Tremellales; Cryptococcaceae.